RNAcentral lists this long non-coding RNA (1045 nucleotides) under Macaca mulatta (Rhesus monkey). RNAcentral describes it as "lncRNA (ENSMMUG00000052388.1)". Lineage: Eukaryota; Metazoa; Chordata; Mammalia; Primates; Cercopithecidae. The record is from RNAcentral.
UUGAGAAUCAUUCAUGAGAAUUUCCUUCUCCAAACCCCUUCCCUAACUUUCAGGAGGGAAAUGACAAUGGGACCCUGAGCUGGAGACCACAGAACGUGUUCUUUCAGCCAGGACCAGGGCCUUCCUGCCCCAGCAAAGCUCAUCCACCUGUGGGUCCAGCAACUCCGUCUGUCCUCAGCACGCUUUUUGAACACUGGCUCACUUCAGAGCCGUAAAUGCCGAGGGAGGUGAGUGGUGCAGCUGCCACCAGCAUGAAGUUUCUCCCAGUGAGAAGUAUGUGGGUAAAUGACAGCUCCCACCUUCAACUUUUGCCCGGUUGCUGAAUGUCCCCUCCCUUUAUGGAACAUACACCUGACACCCUGAUGGAUGCGUCUCCCUGCAGGUACCGUGAGUAAUGAGUCUGCAGCUGAUUCAAUCGCGGGGUUCCCAUAUCUUUCUUAUUAGUUGUGCAGCGCAGUUCCUUGAGCUGACAGCUGUACAAUAGCACCUUUUAAACUUUUCCUGGUUUCAUGCCAGAAAACUUAUCUUUUAACGAUUUUGCACCCACCUCCCAACUCCCAGAGCAAGUAGAGAGAGGGAGUAUGUUUUGAAAGAAAUUCCAGGCUUCUUUUGUGUAUUUUCUCGCCUGGCAGUCCAGUUUGUAACUGAUUAAAAGCAUCACGGAAAACAGUUACAGGACGUCUACAUGAAGUCCAAGUUCAUCAUGUUUUAACACUGCUAUAAAAUGCUUUUUUGAAUGUUUACUAUGUGUCAGGGACUAUGCUCGGUGCUGGGGAUAGCAGGUUAGCACAAACUGUUUUGUCUUAGGCAUUCUUUGUGAUUUUAGCCAUCUAAAUUGCACGCUGUGACUAUGAAGUAGGUAGUUCAUGUCUGUUUUGUUGCUUUGAAAAAGAUCCCAUACUAAAAGGUACAGAACAAAAUCUUUUUUUCCUCUAUUUUCCAUAACCCGGUAGAUAUUACUCUAUAAAACUCUUUUUGUACAAUUUCUUGAGAACCUUGUUACUUUCAGGAAUCACCACCCUCAGUUAACUGGGCUCUUCCUAAA